RNAcentral lists this ribosomal RNA (465 nucleotides) under Vreelandella stevensii. Its description in RNAcentral is "partial 16S ribosomal RNA". It matches the Rfam family "Bacterial small subunit ribosomal RNA", at positions 338 to 795 of the family's 1533-position model. Lineage: Bacteria; Pseudomonadati; Pseudomonadota; Gammaproteobacteria; Oceanospirillales; Halomonadaceae. The record is from RNAcentral.
CCUACGGGUGGCAGCAGUGGGGAAUAUUGGACAAUGGGCGAAAGCCUGAUCCAGCCAUGCCGCGUGUGUGAAGAAGGCCUUCGGGUUGUAAAGCACUUUCAGUGGGGAAGAAAGCCUUGGGGCUAAUACCCUCGAGGAAGGACAUCACCCACAGAAGAAGCACCGGCUAACUCCGUGCAAGCAGCCGCGGUAAUACGGAGGGUGCGAGCGUUAAUCGGAAUUACUGGGCGUAAAGCGCGCGUAGGCGGUCUGAUAAGCCGGUUGUGAAAGCCCCGGGCUCAACCUGGGAACGGCAUCCGGAACUGUCAGGCUAGAGUGCAGGAGAGGAAGGUAGAAUUCCCGGUGUAGCGGUGAAAUGCGUAGAGAUCGGGAGGAAUACCAGUGGCGAAGGCGGCCUUCUGGACUGACACUGACGCUGAGGUGCGAAAGCGUGGGUAGCAAACAGGAUUAGAUACCCUUGUAGUC